This 207-nucleotide ribosomal RNA is filed under the name uncultured bacterium. Its description in RNAcentral is "partial 16S ribosomal RNA". It matches the Rfam family "Bacterial small subunit ribosomal RNA", at positions 568 to 774 of the family's 1533-position model. The record is from RNAcentral.
CGUGUAGGCGGCUUGGUUAGUCGGGUGUGAAAGCCCGGGGCUCAACCCCGGGACGCCGCCCGAGACUGCCUGGCUUGAGGCCGGAAGAGGGGAGUGGAAUUCCUGGUGUAGCGGUGAAAUGCGUAGAGAUCAGGAGGAACACCCGUGGCGAAGGCGGCUCCCUGGUCCGGUUCUGACGCUGAGACGCGAAAGCGCGGGGAGCGAACG